CAGUGUAAACUUCCCCACGUUGUUUUGCCUGUGGCCUCCUGGCCCUGGUAGGACAUGAUUGUAGCCCAGACCAUGUAGAAAUGCUCAGGAACAGCAAGGUGUGGAGAUGAGGCUGCAGAGGAUCUAAGGUUGCAAAAGCUGGAAUAGCCACAAAGGGAUUUUGCUCAUUGAUUUCAUACCUUCAGUUGUUUCUCUUGAGCUUUUUUGUGGGGACAGACCUGUCCCUCCUAUUUGCCCCACCAACAUGCCAUAGGGCUGUUGAUAAUGCAGUAAGAACAGGGCUGUCCUAACACCCACAUGCCACACCAGCCUGUGGAGUUUGGGAUUAACUUCAGAUUUUGUUACAUGAUUCCCUGUUUCACAGUGCUCUUACAGUAUAAACCAUUAGACUUUUUUUCAAAUUACUAAAGCCGUGCAGGAAGAGAUUUGUGUCUCCAUUUUUCUGUGUGGAGUGAGUGUCCCAUCUAUUUGUCUGUAUGUCCCCUGACUAGUAAGGCUGCUCCCUCAUUGCAACACACAGAGUCCAACCCAUUCAGACCUUCUACACAGGUAAACAUGAACCUUAGCUCCUGAACUGCUCAGCACAAUGGACUUUUGCCUGCUGACAUCCAGCCUGGUGCAACUUUAAGGGAUUACCUGGUUACUAUCCAUACAGAACCUGAAUGACAUGUACAUGGUGCUUCUGUGUGAGUCUGAGAAAAGAAAAGCCUCAGGCAUAUUGGUGAGUCAACUUUGGCUGGCCAAUGUUUCUAAAAUAGACCAAAAACAAAGAGGAGAGAGAAAGAAAGCAGUAACCUGUGCUGCUGCACUAAGCCAGCUAAUGAUUCAUUUUCCUUCUGCAAAAUGAACUGAUGGUUCUCACUGAGGUUACCAAUUAGUGCUGCUUAUCAGUUCUCCUUGAGCAGUGAUUCACUCCUCAGCUCCUGAAGGGAACUUGUGAGGCCAAGCCUUGGCCUCAGGGUUUGCUACUCUCUUCAUUAGCCCAGCUCAGGAAGCAGUGCUUAGAAAAUCUGAAUCCAGAGGGUGAGGUUCAUUUCUCAGCUGGGUGGAUGACAGAGGGCUGUACUUCCUGUCAGUCAUGGCAGCAUCUCUGUUGGGCCAGGUCUGGCUUAGCUGUGAUGCAAGCAGGUGGAACAGGGCAGGUCCUGCAGCUCUGUUGCUAAGUGUUGUCUUGGUGACAUGAGAGAUGAGGAAAUGUUCCCUGACCCUCUCAGCGCAGGUUGGCAGGUCAUCUGCUCAGCCAACAAAAUGGGCAGCCUCCAUCGGAAGCAGAACUGCCAUGCUGGAAGCCUGCACAUGUUGCGUAUUCUUGGCAAGGUGAUCCUUGGAGGAGCCACCCCAGCAGGGACAGCUUUCAACCCACAGGUGCACACAGGCUUUUUUAUUAAAAUAGGCUUGUCUGCAGCUGAAUUCCUAGUGCCUCUGAGGAACAAAACAGAUGUUUGACUCGCUCGUAACAAUGUGGGAUGCAGUAGAUACCAUGAUGAAUACACAGAGAAGGUUUGAUUUGAUGUUUGAGCUGGACAAAAUAUGUUCCUCUCUUCAGCCCCUUGCAUGAAACCUCUACCCGUUGUUUCAUUUGCCAGGUUUGUCUUCAGUGGUGUGAUGCUGGCCUAUCUGGUUACCUUCAGCUUUCCAUACACCUUUCACUGUGCUUUAUAACAAAUGGCAGGAUAAAUACGUUCAGGAAGCUGAAUACAUGUAAGAAUGGCAAGAAGUACAUAGUGAACUUGUCCAUGCUUUUCUCAGAAACAAACUCCACUAACCAGACAGCUUGGCAAGUCACUUUUACUUUAAAUUCCUAGCUAUUCCUGGCGACUGUCCAAUGAGUCACAGAGCAGAAUAAAGCAUAUUUCUGCUGGUUUUGCCAGAGUAAUUACUCCUCUGGCUUACCAUACGCUCUGAGGAAAUGGCAGAGGACUCAGAGCUAUUGUCCUUUGUCCUGUAAAGAAGCACUCUUGCACAGCUUGCUUUGGAAGUGCAGCGACUGAGGGGAGUUGUACCAUGCCACAGCACUUUGGCAAUUCCAGAUCUUUGCCCCUCCCAGGUCACAGAUCACUUCAGGAAUGAAUGUCCUUUCUGACCUCUGCCUGUCUGUAAGACUGGGAAAGGGGCAGGUUUUGUUUUGGGGGGCAGUAAAACCAGUUGUCUCUUUUUCUGUAUCCCGAGUCCCUUGUUAGCUGAACACUGGCCUCUUCUGAGACAAAACUGAUCCUAAAAUAUGCACAAAGUUGCUGCAGUUACCUGUACAGAGUGUGCUUUGGAAAUCCCUUUUUCUUCAAGUGUUAUAUGUAACAGGCAAAACCAGGUGUAGGUUGAAACCCGAUUUACAAGCAAAAGGAUGUGGCUCGCCAGGACAUGGGCCUUAUCUGAAGCGAUAUGGAGACACCCAGGUGCUGAUCAUCGCGUGAACGACCCGAGAUGGACAUCAGGAACAUCCCCCGGGCUGAUACAGAAAGUAGUAUUAAGCUGCCAGGCCUGUUUUGGGGUGAAGUCUAGACUGGGCUCAGAGAGGAUGGUGCACUUUCCUGAAUCCUGCAAGGUGCAUGAGGAGAGACACAGGGCUCUGGACAUUCAGCUGGAGGAGGGAAGACUUAGGAGAAACUUGACAACAACUUUUCAAUACGAGGCUGAAAUCUGUCUGUGGAGUGUCUCAAGGCACGACUGUAAGAAGUGGGAAGCAGCCCAGUGCGAAUGCAGCAUUCACCCUGCUGUGAGCGGGAGGCUGGAGGAGAGACCUCCUGGGCUUCUUCCAGUCUGGAUGAGGCUGAGAGUGGGAUCCUGCCAUGGUAAGCAGAAAGCUUUUAAUUUACCUACUGUAUGGAAAUGUAGAAGGCUGAGCUCCUCACCCUUGCUAGAAGCACUGACGCGAAGAAUAAAGCUUUGCUCCUGGUAACAAGGAGCGGCUGCUGAGGGUGGCAGCGCAGCUGAGGAGCAGCUCAGCUUCCACCACUGCUUCCACUUCCCUGCGUUCCGCUGGCUGAAAGGCGAUUGUCCUUUACUGCCAUCUCCUGGGAAAAAACCCACAGAUUUCCAGCCUGCCCUGUUGUUCUGCCUCAUCUCCUGCAGGGAUUUCCUGCCUUUCCCUAGGCUGGCUUCCGUGUUUGUCCAGAGCCAUCCUCAGGAUGUGGGGUCUCAGCAGUGUAAUGUGCAUCUCUGUACACCGGUGUUUCCUACCCAGUGGAAUCCUGAGCCUCCUCUGUCCAAGUGUUUCAAAUGUAAAGCCAUAGGAACAUUG
RNA transcript from Vidua chalybeata, 3238 nucleotides. RefSeq lists it as uncharacterized. The transcript has 5 exons. The record is from RefSeq and is a predicted model, not a curated record. NCBI's taxonomy places the organism in Eukaryota, Metazoa, Chordata, Aves, Passeriformes, Viduidae.